RNAcentral lists this ribosomal RNA (1032 nucleotides) under Stachybotrys elegans. RNAcentral's name for it is "SSU rRNA". It matches the Rfam family "Eukaryotic small subunit ribosomal RNA", at positions 54 to 1098 of the family's 1831-position model. Lineage: Eukaryota; Fungi; Ascomycota; Sordariomycetes; Hypocreales; Stachybotryaceae. The record is from RNAcentral.
CAUGUCUAAGUAUAAGCAAUUAUACAGCGAAACUGCGAAUGGCUCAUUAUAUAAGUUAUCGUUUAUUUGAUAGUGCCUUACUACUUGGAUAACCGUGGUAAUUCUAGAGCUAAUACAUGCUAAAAAUCCCGACUUCGGAAGGGAUGUAUUUAUUAGAUUAAAAACCAAUGCCCUCUGGGCUUUUUGGUGAUUCAUGAUAACUUCUCGAAUCGCACGGCCUUGCGCCGGCGAUGGCUCAUUCAAAUUUCUUCCCUAUCAACUUUCGAUGUUUGGGUAGUGGCCAAACAUGGUUGCAACGGGUAACGGAGGGUUAGGGCUCGACCCCGGAGAAGGAGCCUGAGAAACGGCUACUACAUCCAAGGAAGGCAGCAGGCGCGCAAAUUACCCAAUCCCGAUUCGGGGAGGUAGUGACAAUAAAUACUGAUACAGGGCUCUUUCGGGUCUUGUAAUCGGAAUGAGUACAAUUUAAAUCCCUUAACGAGGAACAAUUGGAGGGCAAGUCUGGUGCCAGCAGCCGCGGUAAUUCCAGCUCCAAUAGCGUAUAUUAAAGUUGUUGUGGUUAAAAAGCUCGUAGUUGAACCUUGGGCCUGGCUGGCCGGUCCGCCUCACCGCGAGUACUGGUCCGGCCGGGUCUUUCCCUCUGUGGAACCCCAUGCCCUUCACUGGGUGUGGCGGGGAAACAGGACUUUUACUUUGAAAAAAUUAGAGUGCUCCAGGCAGGCCUAUGCUCGAAUAUAUUAGCAUGGAAUAAUAGAAUAGGACGUGUGGUUCUAUUUUGUUGGUUUCUAGGACCGCCGUAAUGAUUAAUAGGGACAGUCGGGGGCAUCAGUAUUCAAUUGUCAGAGGUGAAAUUCUUGGAUUUAUUGAAGACUAACUACUGCGAAAGCAUUUGCCAAGGAUGUUUUCAUUAAUCAGGAACGAAAGUUAGGGGAUCGAAAACGAUCAGAUACCGUUGUAGUCUUAACCAUAAACUAUGCCGACUCGGGAUCGGACGAUGUUAUUUUUUGACUCGUUCGGCACCGUACGAUAAAU